GUAGCGGUGGCAGGCUGGCAGCAUCGGGAAAAAAUCGCCCAUUCGUUCGUUCGUACUUGGUGUGCCGCGCUAAAGGCUCGCAACGCGGCGCCCCGAGUCACGACGAUUCUCUCGGUUUGCUCGCCUCCUCCCUUCCUUAUUCGAUUCCUUUUUUUUUUCCUCCCUCUUCUUCCUUACCUUGACGUCGCCGCGGCAGCAGCGACGGUGACGGCGGCGGGAUCCCUCGCCUCGCUUCGGGAAUUUCGCGCGCGCGAUCGGCGCGAUUUGGCGCGAACGGUUACAAUGGCGGGCGACUAACGACUUUAUCGUAUCCGCGUCCAUUGGACGCGUUUCGGGAGAGCGCCAGAACGGAGGAGGACGAUUUGCGUUUCUCUUCUUGGGGCGGAUGCUAUGUAAAAAUUUCGUUAAUGACGAUGGAAAUUGGAGAGAAUUGCGCGGAAUGAGCAUUAAUAUUAAUAACGACCUGCGCCGCGUGGAUCGAUACAUAUAUACGUGUGUGUCUGUGCAUAGGAUUAUGCAAAGGAAAAAAAUCGCAUAUGCACGACGAACGUCGAAUAGUUACGAGCCGGUUGUAAGCGCUGGAGGACAUUGACCUCGCCGAUUCUCCCGACUGUGUUUUCGACGACUUGAGCUUCCACGUCGAUACAUGGAUGAAAUAAUUUCACCCCCGAAUCAAUAGUCGGAUUUAUUAUAAGCAUUCCAGGAAAUCCUAUCCUGAAAUUGUUAUGAGUUGCUACGCUUUGCAAACGAUUAUGUAAACAUUCUAUUAUUCCGAUUUGAAUAUCUUUCAACGGUCGUUCGACGUUGCCGCAUUUAUUCGUUCGAAUCUGUUUUCCCUUCUAUUUAUCUUUGCGAGUCGUGAAUGUUGUGGUUUGAUGAGCGAUCAUCGACUCGCCUGAGUGUCCCAGACAAACAAAAACAAGCACAUUGAACAUCUGUUGACAUUUUAAUUCAACUUUGAAAAUAAAGGCAGAUUGUUCUUGAUCACAUUCCUCUUAUUAAAUGUCCUCUCCCAUAAACAGAGUCUCGUAUCUUUAUGAAAGAAACAUAAGAGAUGACACAUUGUAAAAGCAAAACAACUGUAGAAGAAUAAACAAAUCUAUAAAG
Molecule: long non-coding RNA, 1107 nt
Organism: Acromyrmex echinatior (Panamanian leafcutter ant)
Lineage: Eukaryota; Metazoa; Arthropoda; Insecta; Hymenoptera; Formicidae
Source: RefSeq, a predicted model, not a curated record